This 447-nucleotide long non-coding RNA is filed under the name Equus asinus (donkey). Its description in RNAcentral is "lncRNA (ENSEASG00005026453.1)". Lineage: Eukaryota; Metazoa; Chordata; Mammalia; Perissodactyla; Equidae. The record is from RNAcentral.
GUUAGAAGUGUGUUCUGAAGAAGUCCAUGGCCUCUAAGCUCUCCAGUUGCUUGAAGCCCAUUAUCAUAACUGAAGAGCCCCCAACUGGAGAAGGAGGAAUCUGUGAUCACAAGUACCUAGAGGAUGGCAGAGCCACAAUAUGGAAGGAGUCUGGGUCCCUGUGUCCACUGCAGAGGAGAGCUGCCUGCUGCCUGCUGCAACCUCAGAUGGUUACAGGAGUGAGAAAUAAACUAUGAUUAUGUUUGAGGCAUUGUACUGCAUCAAAUGUCUUUAUUACAACAGCUAGCAUUACUGUAACUAAUGUCAGUCCUUAACAAGGACAGCCAUAGUCCUUUAAGAAAGAGCCGGAACACAAACUCAGGUCUCUGAAGACAAACCACCAUGCAACGCUGCUUCCAGAGGCCUCACCUCUUUUCUGAUAGAAAAUCCUCUCUAGGUCAUUGACUC